Molecule: ribosomal RNA, 253 nt
Filed under: uncultured bacterium
Lineage: Bacteria
Description: partial 16S ribosomal RNA
Rfam family: Bacterial small subunit ribosomal RNA
Source: RNAcentral
UACGUAGGUGGCAAGCGUUGUCCGGAAUUAUUGGGCGUAAAGCGCGCGCAGGUGGUUUCUUAAGUCUGAUGUGAAAGCCCACGGCUCAACCGUGGAGGGUCAUUGGAAACUGGGAAACUUGAGUGCAGGAGAGAAGAGUGGAAUUCCACGUGUAGCGGUGAAAUGCGUAGAGAUGUGGAGGAACACCAGUGGCGAAGGCGACUCUUUGGCCUGUAACUGACACUGAGGCGCGAAAGCGUGGGGAGCAAACAGG